ACUCAUCUUCCCCCUUACCAUCAUUCGGUGCACCAAAACCAUGCCCAGGCAAGGAGACCUCGACGGACCGAUUGAAGACAGGAGGUGAAUCUUCAGACUCGCGACGAUACCGGUAGUAACACCGUUGAGCCAAGUGACCAAAGCGGUUACAAAUCUGGCAUUGAAUCCGGGGCUUGAAGUUCCGUUCACAACCACGAGGAGACGAUCGACCACCACGAACGGAGCCGUCGCCCACUGACGCUGAUUCAACCAGAUUCGCAUGAAGGCUGACAUCCUGAGUCACACGAUGAAGGCGAGUUUCGCACUCAACUAGUGCAUUGACAACCCGUUGAAGAGAAAGGGGACCAUUUGAUAACGAAACGGACGAGACUACACUCUCAAACUCCGGAGGCAGGCCAGCAAGAAUAAUCUCCAACUUCUCAGUAUCCGAGAUCCGCGAGCCUGAAGUUUGAAGAAUAGAACAAAUAUUCUUAAUGCGAGUAACAUAAGCAAUGACAGACAGAGUACCUUUCUUCAACGAAUGUAACUCGUGACGGAGCCGCGACUGCUUGGCACCAGUAUCGGCAGCAAACAGUUCCGAAGUAGUGUUCCAAACAUCAUACGCUGAUCUAGCCUCAGUGAAAGACGGCAAAAGCGCAACUUCGAUGGUAAAGAGAAGCCAAGACGUGAGGAGACGAUCUUGUUGUUUGAACACCAGCGCGGAUGGAUUCAGUGCUAAGACACCAUCGGCAGUGUGAACGUUCCGAGGUGGUAGAGGAACAGUACCAUCAAGGAAACCAAGAAGGUCAUAGCCAUCAAGAAUCAGCUUGACUUGCUGUUGCCAGAGAACAUACGUUGCAUCAGUUAGUUUAACCACAUCAUGAUGGGGAAAGGAAUGUACCACACGUUCACCAUUGAAGAGAACAGCACUCGGCUCAGUCGAGUCAGAAUCAGCAGAGGUUGUGAUGACCAUAAAGCCCAAGAUCAGCCGGCGAAAAAUACCAUAUUAGAAACCAGGUAAAAAUAAAAGAAACUGUUCUUCUUUGAUUUAUGAAACUUGCUUUAUUACAUGCUCACUUGAAAUCCUUUUAUAUAGACUUCCUCAACUGCUCUUAACAGCUUAACAAUAUUCAACAGCUAAUUAACAGACUAACAGCUAACAAUCUAACUAACUGAUCCUUUACAGUUGGCAAGAUAGAUGGUGGGAUUUUUCUCUAAGGAGAUUUCAUCUGUUUAGCAUUUAUUUUUUAACCAAACUUGAAUGUCCAACAAAUAUGACAAACUGUCCUUUUUUGAGAUCCACCAUGAUGGACCUAUAUGAAUUAUGAUGUCUCUCCAUCUUCACACCACCAACUUAUUGACAAGAUUCUUAAUUUCAUCAUAAACCCUUCACUUUCUCCCUUUGUAAUCUGUUUUUGUUUCUUCAUCACUAGUCCCAGGGUCACAUUGCAGUUUUCAUAUGAUCAGAUUGUUAUACACAGAAAAAAAAAUCAAUCAUGAAGGACCAUGUUGUGUUAUAUCAUUGUUGAGCAAGUAAAAAAGUUGUGAGUUAAUCAUAUGAGAACUUUUUUUUUAUUGCUUUAGGAUGUAAUUCGAGUAAAUAUUUGAUUAAAUAAACAUGUUAUAAGUUGUUAUACUAUUUGUAUAUUUGAAAUUUUAGUUUCUCUACUUUUCAAAUAUUAAAAUGUAUGUCCAAUUAUUAACAUUGUUAAAAUUCUUUGAUUAAAUUAAGGUUCAUUACAACUUUGGUAAAUUUUUUACACGACAACUAAGUGAGUUUUUUUUUUCUUAUUUCAAAAUGUCAUACUAGUGAAUUUAACAGAAGAAUUCUAUCGGUGUAAACAAUUAGACUUGAAAUUUAUAAUCUGAAAAAUAUAGAGACUAAAUUAUUAGAAAUAAAAGUAGAAAAACUAAAUUACAAAUGUACAACUUAAAGCAUUUUUUUACAAUUUUUCUCAUAUUUUAGACUGCAAAUUUUUCAUAAAAAAAUAUUUUUUAUAUUAUGUAUGUGAAAUAUAUUUAUGAAUAUAUAUUUAUAUUUAUUAUAUAUUUAAUUGUGGUGUUUUUAAUAGGACAAAAUUUUAAUUGUGAAAAAAAAGCAAACAAUUAUUUAUAUAUACAACCAAACCCUAAUUAUAAAAGAAGUAAAUAAUAUUAUUUGAUAUAUUAAUAAUAGAAUUUCCACAGACCAGAGAUUAAAAAAUCAUCUUAUAUUUUAUAAAAUUUUUAAAAUAUCAAUUAAAAAUAUAAGGUUGACUUGAGAUCCUAAAUAUAUAUAUAAACAUAUAUACAUAUAGACACACAUAAGAAUAUUAGGAUGAUAAGAACAAAAGGAGCAGAUUAGUGUUCAGAAAAUUUAAGUGUUUUCUCUUAAAUUUAUUGAUAUUUAUUUAAAAAAGGAGAGAAUUUUGGUAAAAGCAUUAUCGAGUCUUUGUAUUAAGAGUUAAAUUGUCAAAAAAUGAGUAAAUUUAUCUUGUAUUCUAGAUUAAAGAAUAAUCUAAUUAUUUAAAAAUUCAACAAUUUCAACUAUUAAAAACUUAUGUGACUGACAAAAUAACUAGACGAUUACCUACAGUGUCUUACAUGUACCUCAUGCUAACAUACAUGAACUAACUUUUAACAGAAGGAUCAGUUUGCUAUUUACUCAUUUUUUGAGUAAAAGCGAUAAAAAACAAUCCGACUCCUAACAUAAGUACCUCUAUAAUACUUUUACUAGAAAUUUACACUGUUCUAAUGUUUAUUGCAUGAGUUUAUAUCCCUAAGACAUGUUAAGGCGAAGUAGCCUUCCAUUGUUGCUGGCAAAAAAAAGUCAUCUCUAUAUGGGGAAUUACACAUAAACAGACAAGGUUCAAUAGAAUCCCUACAAAAUGAAGUACUGAUGAAACAUUGUACUAUUACUAACAAAACGAUUUGAUAUUAUCUUUCAUAUAAUUUCUUAGACAAACUUCUGGUACUGCAUUUUGCAUGUUCUUUUCAAUCAAAGCUCAAAGGGAGAUGAACCAGCAAUUGCAGCCAUGGAUGGAGCCACAGUUUGCUGAACACAUUGACAAGUGACACAUUAUGACCCACCAUUAGAAUUAUGAGCUUCACAUGUAAAAUUUAUGGUUUAUGGAUUUGACCCACCAUGAGUUAAUAUAUCUGCCCCACUUGGUAGAUAUAACUUCAUGCAAUAGAAUAAAUAACUAGUUAUGAUGA
RNAcentral lists this long non-coding RNA (3174 nucleotides) under Gossypium barbadense (sea-island cotton). Its description in RNAcentral is "long non-coding RNA (GBAR_LNC007708)". Lineage: Eukaryota; Viridiplantae; Streptophyta; Magnoliopsida; Malvales; Malvaceae. The record is from RNAcentral.